CAAUUUAAAGCUUGAAAAGGAAAGUUUUUCAUUUACAUUGAAAAGAUUUAUGUGCAAAUCAUAAUAAAUUGA
RNAcentral lists this transfer RNA (72 nucleotides) under Pseudogriphoneura sp. ACMJ-2016. RNAcentral describes it as "tRNA-Val". It matches the Rfam family "tRNA". From Rfam's summary of the family: Transfer RNA (tRNA) molecules are approximately 80 nucleotides in length. Their secondary structure includes four short double-helical elements and three loops (D, anti-codon, and T loops). Further hydrogen bonds mediate the characteristic L-shaped molecular structure. tRNAs have two regions of fundamental functional importance: the anti-codon, which is responsible for specific mRNA codon recognition, and the 3' end, to which the tRNAs corresponding amino acid is attached (by aminoacyl-tRNA synthetases). tRNAs cope with the degeneracy of the genetic code in two manners: having more than one tRNA (with a specific anti-codon) for a particular amino acid; and 'wobble' base-pairing, i.e. permitting non-standard base-pairing at the 3rd anti-codon position. The record is from RNAcentral. Lineage: Eukaryota; Metazoa; Arthropoda; Insecta; Diptera; Lauxaniidae.